CACCUUCUUAUCUCCCUCCAGGACCACCAUUAGCCAAACCUAGCCUGGAGCCAGUUAGCAAGGGAGGCUGGGAAAUGGGGUAUCCAGGAUUCCCCCCCCCCCCCCCCCCCCGCCGCCCACCUGCUCCCAAGACACACAGCAGAGCAGGGGAAGGGAAGAGAAAGGAUCUCUGAGCAAGCAGAGAAAAAACCAGAUGAACAGUUUGGUAAAUUUCAUUAAAGCACACCUAAGGGGUGAAACACAUCCACGAGCAGCAUGGUGAGAGGGAGCCGUUGUGAUGGUGAAUAACCAGUGAUAUAGCCCUGUCCUCUCCUUCCCAGUUCAAGAUUCAUGAUGCUUAUUAAACAUGUGGAUUUUAGCAGAA
Molecule: long non-coding RNA, 364 nt
Organism: Lynx canadensis (Canada lynx)
Lineage: Eukaryota; Metazoa; Chordata; Mammalia; Carnivora; Felidae
Exons: 2
Source: RefSeq, a predicted model, not a curated record